This is a long non-coding RNA of Micropterus salmoides (largemouth bass), 1178 nucleotides long. RefSeq lists it as uncharacterized. The transcript is spliced from 3 exons. NCBI's taxonomy places the organism in Eukaryota, Metazoa, Chordata, Actinopteri, Centrarchiformes, Centrarchidae. The record is from RefSeq and is a predicted model, not a curated record.
GUCAGUGAGAAGCAAACACAGCUUUGUUUCAGCUGUACAUGUUGCCAACCAGCCUGGCUGGAGCAAGAGUUUCAGAGUGGUCAUCAUCCAGCACAACUUAGUUGUCCUAGAGUUGUUCAGAAAAACAUCUACAGUUCCCAGGCAACUGAGCAAACUCCAUCUGCUGAUGCAGGCCGUGUGAUAUUGUAAAAAUCUCCAGAAUGACAAUUUACAAAUUUCCACGGCAAAUAGCAUCAAACUUUCCUAAACGGCUGUGGCUGGAAAUGGCAAUGGAAGACAUCAUGGACAUGGAAAAACAUGCAAAGCAACAAAAUGAAUUUUAUUCAUCAUAUAGCCUAGUGUUUUACAGAAAAUAUUCAAAUGUAACCCCCAAUGUAAUCGUGAGCAUUUUCAUAAGUAACUGUAAUUUAAUUGCACAAUCUUCCCUAGUUACUGUAAUGUAUAACAGUUACAUUUAUUUUGUAAUCUAAUUCAAGAAUACGUUCUUUUAUUCAUUUCUAUCUGUGGGAUGGUUCUUGUUUUGUCAGAGGGGUUGUUGUUUGGGAUGCUUUAACUGUGCUCCCCCUCAUGAUGGGCGUCUGGGCACAUGAAGAGCUGUUUUCUUUACUCUGCUUUGAGCUGGACUGGUACAGUGCAUAGCCAUCGUCUCCACUUCUCACAGAAGUAGGUUUUAUGUUUUUUAUGUUGGUGAAUAUCAGGUGUUGUACUGUCUGUGCCAUCUGUGUGCAUAGAUUGUAUUGUGAUGCACUAUUGCUACGCCUGGCUACAAUCAUCACUGCUGUGACCACUAGAAAGUGUAGUUGUGACACCCCUUUAAAAAUGCGCUUCAGUUCACCAUCUCUCUGAAGAAGGUAAUAAUUUCACUCUAACUGCAUGUGGCUAUCAGCGUUGGUGUUUGUAAAUUGGACUUUUUUCCAAUGAGGCUCAGUUGCAUGGAAAGAGCCCAAUUUUGUGCUAAAUGUAAAUGUAAAUAUGUGCAAAUAGCAUAAAAAUCCCCUUUCCAAUGCCUGGGGGGGUGUUGUGUUCGACACAGGUUCAAACACACUGAUUCAUUUGCCUGUUUGGUUCAGCUUGUUAAGGCUGUUGUGGAUUAAAUUGGAAAAUACAUAAAUUGUUUUUCCCUGUGUGGGUCCAGGUAGAGAUAAUGAUGCCGAGUGACAGUCACCAAAACAAUCACU